This 396-nucleotide ribosomal RNA is filed under the name uncultured bacterium. RNAcentral describes it as "partial 16S ribosomal RNA". It matches the Rfam family "Bacterial small subunit ribosomal RNA", at positions 523 to 918 of the family's 1533-position model. The record is from RNAcentral.
AUACGUAGGUGGCAAGCGUUGUCCGGAAUUAUUGGGCGUAAAGCGCAUGUAGGCGGUUUGGUAAGUCGGUCGUGAAAAUGCGGUGCUUAACGCCGUAUGGCGAUUGAAACUGCUGAACUUGAGUGCAGGAGAGGAAAGGGGAACUCCCAGUGUAGCGGUGAAAUGCGUAGAUAUUGGGAAGAACACCGGUGGCGAAGGCACCUUUCUGGACUGUGUCUGACGCUCAGAUGCGAAAGCCAGGGUAGCGAACGGGAUGAGAUACCCCGGUAGUCCUGGCCGUAAACGAUGGGUACUAGGUGUGGGAGGUAGCGACUCCUUCCGUGCCGGAGUUAACGCAAUAAGUCCCCCGCCUGGGGAGUACGGCCGCAAGGCUUAAACUCAAAUGAAUUGACGGGG